This 374-nucleotide ribosomal RNA is filed under the name uncultured bacterium. RNAcentral's name for it is "bacterial SSU rRNA". It matches the Rfam family "Bacterial small subunit ribosomal RNA", at positions 28 to 404 of the family's 1533-position model. The record is from RNAcentral.
GACGAACGCUGGCGGCGUGCUUAACACAUGCAAGUCGAGCGGUAAGGCCCUUUCGGGGGUACACGAGCGGCGAACGGGUGAGUAACACGUGGGUGACCUGCCCUCAGCUCUGGGAUAAGCCUGGGAAACUGGGUCUAAUACUGGAUAUGACUCCACGGUGCAUGUCGUGGGGUGGAAAGCCUUGUGCGGCUGAGGAUGGGCCCGCGGCCUAUCAGCUUGUUGGUGGGGUGAGGCCUACCAAGGCGACGACGGGUAGCCGGCCUGAGAGGGCGACCGGCCGCACUGGGACUGAGACACGGCCCAGACUCCUACGGGAGGCAGCAGUGGGGAAUCUUGCGCAAUGGGCGAAAGCCUGACGCAGCGACGCCGCGUGA